AACCAUGCUAUAUAUCGAAGAACUAAUGCUAUGGGCAAUUCCUAGAGACUGAAAUAAAUAAAGUUAUUAAUGGAUAUAUAUAAUGUAUAUAUUUAUAUGUGUGUACUAGCGGACUAAAAGGAAAUAUUCGCAAGUAUUUUCAAGGGGAAACAAAUAUUCUAAAAUGAAUUAGCUUAGUUAAUCAAUGAAGGGAAGGAAGAUACAUAAAAAUGUCUUAUAUAAAAAAUAAAUCCCGUAACGUGUCAGAAUGAUGUCCUAAGUGCUUGUCUGUAAGGAGAGGACACCAACAAUAUGAACCUGGGGCAGGCUGACGGAAGCUAACGAGAGGGAAUCUCGGCGAACAUCCUACAACCUCAGCCGUGAUGGCUGAUCAGCUGGGAUGGACUGGCUAGCUGACCUUGACCCAUUAAAAAACCAGAAAAGCUGCGCGAAUUGCAUUAGAUAAUCGACCAGUCAAAAUUCCUUCUCAUCUCCGUAGAAAGUUUUGCUUUAAAUGGACAUUCAAAAGGUACUUUAAAUGAAAAAAACAUACUCUGCAAUCUAUUUUCUGAUGAAAUUAACUUAUCUGUGAAACAAAAGGCUUGGAUAUCACUAAAUAGCAGCAGCAAAAUUUAAGGUGCAUUGCUUCAUGACUGGAUUACUUAAUAACCUUGAGGUUAUUUAAUAUAUUUUAUAUAUAAU
Molecule: long non-coding RNA, 681 nt
Organism: Drosophila gunungcola (fruit fly)
Lineage: Eukaryota; Metazoa; Arthropoda; Insecta; Diptera; Drosophilidae
Exons: 5
Source: RefSeq, a predicted model, not a curated record